This 412-nucleotide ribosomal RNA is filed under the name bacterium enrichment culture clone ALO1_GLFRUDD03F786O. RNAcentral describes it as "bacterial SSU rRNA". It matches the Rfam family "Bacterial small subunit ribosomal RNA", at positions 9 to 420 of the family's 1533-position model. The record is from RNAcentral.
GAGUUUGAUCCUGGCUCAGAUUGAACGCUGGCGGCAUGCCUUACACAUGCAAGUCGAACGGCAGCACGGGAGCUUGCUCCUGGUGGGCGAGUGGCGAACGGGUGAGUAAUGCAUCGGAACGUAUCCUGGAGUGGGGGAUAACGUAGCGAAAGUUACGCUAAUACCGCAUACUCUGUGAGCAGGAAAGCGGGGGACCUUCGGGCCUCGCGCUCUUGGAGCGGCCGAUGUCGGAUUAGCUAGUUGGUGAGGUAAAGGCUCACCAAGGCGACGAUCCGUAGCAGGUCUGAGAGGAUGAUCUGCCACACUGGAACUGAGACACGGUCCAGACUCCUACGGGAGGCAGCAGUGGGGAAUUUUGGACAAUGGGGGCAACCCUGAUCCAGCCAUGCCGCGUGAGUGAAGAAGGCCUCGG